Molecule: ribosomal RNA, 1272 nt
Filed under: Triticum aestivum (bread wheat)
Lineage: Eukaryota; Viridiplantae; Streptophyta; Magnoliopsida; Poales; Poaceae
Description: partial small subunit ribosomal RNA
Source: RNAcentral
AUGGGCGGGUCGGUGCUGCACGCGCGGCGGCGGUCGGACCCCAAGUUCGACCUCCGGGUCUGGGUGCGCAUCCUCCUCGCCGACCUCGAGUUCAAGAAGUACCUCUGGUCGCUCUACAACGCCAAAACCGGCUAUGUGGAAUCGUUGGACGACGAUGUGGAGAUUGUGGUGCCGGACGACGAUCAUGGCCUGUUCGCCAUCGACGUUCUCGAUCCUUCCUGGUUUGUAGAGCUACUGCAUCUGACUAUGGUGUACCAUUUCCAUGAUAUGAUUGAUAUGCUCCUUGACUGUGGAUACGAGAAAGGAACAACACUAUUUGGAUAUGGUUAUGAUUUUCGUCAAAGCAACAGGAUAGACAAAGCAAUGGCUGGUUUGAGAGCAAAACUUGAGACGGCUUACAAGGCCUCUGGUGGGAAAAAAGUAAACAUAAUCUCCCAUUCUAUGGGAGGAUUGCUAGUACGCUGUUUCAUGUCUAUGAAUCAUGAUAUAUUUUCAAAGUAUGUCAAUAAAUGGAUUUGCAUUGCUUGUCCAUUUCAAGGUGCCCCAGGAUGCAUCAAUGAUUCUCUUCUAACUGGACUGCAGUUUGUUUAUGGUUUUGAAAGUUUCUUUUUCGUUUCUCGAUGGGCGAUGCACCAACUGUUGGUUGAGUGCCCAUCAAUCUACGAAAUGCUACCAAAUCCAAACUUUGAGUGGAAGGAAAAACCAAUCGUUCAGGUUUGGCGAAAGAAUCCUGAAAAGGAUGGAACAGUAGAGCUAGUUUUGUAUGAAGCAACUGAUUGUGUUUCUCUGUUUGAAGAAGCUUUACAAAAUAAUGAGCUCAAUUAUAAUGGGAAGACGAUUGCACUACCAUUCAAUAUGUCCAUCUACAAAUGGGCUACUGAGACUCGCCGUAUUCUUGAGAAUGCUCAACUACCAGAUACCGUGAGUUUUUAUAGUAUACAUGGGACAUCUUAUGAAACACCAUAUGAUGUUUGCUAUGGCUCUGAAAGCUCCCCAAUUGGAGAUCUCUCAGAAGUGUGCCACACAGUGCCUACAUACACAUACGUGGAUGGAGAUUGCACUGUUCCUGUCGAAUCAGCCACGGCUGAUGGGUUCCCAGCGAAAGAAAGGGUAGGCGUCAGGGCUGACCACCGAGGGCUGCUGUGUGAUGAGAAUGUGUUCAAGUUUCUCAAGAAAUGGCUCGGCGUAAGUGAGAACACACGGGGUAGGGUGUCGAAAUCGCAAAUCAUGGACAUGCCCCCAGAGAGGAUCCCUGAUCAGGCCAGUCUCUGA